Non-coding RNA from Pelobates cultripes (western spadefoot toad), 276 nucleotides. The record is from the annotation of a GenBank genome assembly. Lineage: Eukaryota; Metazoa; Chordata; Amphibia; Anura; Pelobatidae.
CCCCUAGUGGCUGUCUCCUGGUCCAUAGCACAGGUUUUAUGUUGAGGGACCAGACACCCAGACCACUUCAUUGAGAUGAAGUAGUCUGGGUGACUAUAGUGUCCCUUUAAGUUCAAAGCCCCCAAUGGGCUGGGCAGGAAUUGCAAAAUGUAAUGUCAUUUGUAAGGUCAGCGUCAAUGCUCCAAAAGCACUCCAUUAAAUGAAGGGAUUUUGCUUCUUAAACAAACCCUUUAAAAUAUGGGGAGGUACAUAACGCCAGAGACACUUUACUUUAGA